This 622-nucleotide ribosomal RNA is filed under the name Ceriporiopsis resinascens. Its description in RNAcentral is "eukaryotic LSU rRNA". The stretch from base 229 to 382 matches the Rfam family "5.8S ribosomal RNA". The record is from RNAcentral. Lineage: Eukaryota; Fungi; Basidiomycota; Agaricomycetes; Polyporales; Meruliaceae.
AUCAUUAUUGAGUUUAAUUGAAACAGGUUGUAGCUGGCCUUUUGUUAGGCACUGUGCACGCCUGGAUCAAUUUCCCACUCUUCAACCACUGUGCACUUUUUGUAAGAUUGGCUGUAAGAUUUUUUCUGUUGCUCCGGUAGUAGCAAAAAUUUGAAGGCCUCUCUUAUGUUUACCACAAACACAUCAGUUUCAGAAUGUCAUUGUUGUUUUUAUAACACCUGUAUAUACAACUUUCAGCAACGGAUCUCUUGGCUCUCGCAUCGAUGAAGAACGCAGCGAAAUGCGAUAAGUAAUGUGAAUUGCAGAAUUCAGUGAAUCAUCGAAUCUUUGAACGCACCUUGCGCUCCUUGGUAUUCCGAGGAGCAUGCCUGUUUGAGUGUCAUGGAAUUCUCAACUUGUUAGAAUUUUGUUCUAAUAAGCUUGGACUUGGAGGCUUGUGUCGGCUUAUGCAGCCCGACUCCUCUUAAAUUCAGUAGCGUGAAUUUGUAUGGAUCGCUUUCAGUGUGAUAAUUAUCUACGCUGUGGUGUUGAAGUAUUAAUUAUGUUUGUGCUUAUAACAGUCUCUUGACUGAGACAAUUCUCACAUAUGACAUCUGACCUCAAAUCAGGUAGGACUACCCGC